UACAGAGGGUGCGAGCGUUAAUCGGAAUUACUGGGCGUAAAGCGCGCGUAGGCGGCUUUUCAAGUCGAUUGUGAAAUCCCCGGGCUUAACCUGGGAACUGCGUUUGAAACUACAAGGCUAGAGUGUAGCAGAGGGGGGUGGAAUUCCACGUGUAGCAGUGAAAUGCGUAGAGAUGUGGAGGAACACCGAUGGCGAAGGCAGCCCCCUGGGUUAACACUGACGCUCAGGCACGAAAGCGUGGGGAGCAAACAGG
Molecule: ribosomal RNA, 253 nt
Filed under: uncultured bacterium
Lineage: Bacteria
Description: partial 16S ribosomal RNA
Rfam family: Bacterial small subunit ribosomal RNA
Source: RNAcentral